Molecule: ribosomal RNA, 301 nt
Filed under: uncultured bacterium
Lineage: Bacteria
Description: partial 16S ribosomal RNA
Rfam family: Bacterial small subunit ribosomal RNA
Source: RNAcentral
CAGUAGCCACGGUAAUACGUAGGGUGCGAGCGUUAAUCGGAAUUACUGGGCGUAAAGCGUGCGCGGGCGGUUAUAUAAGACAGAUGUGAAAUCCCCGGGCUCAACCUGGGAACUGCUUCUGAGACUGAACGACUAGAGUACGGUAGAGGGUGGUGGAAUUUCCGGUGUAGCGGUGAAAUGCGUAGAUAUCGGAAGGAACAUCAAUGGCGAAGGCAGCCACCUGGGCCUGUACUGACACUGAGACACGAAAGCGUGGGGAUCAAACAGGAUUAGAGACCCCCGUAGUCCCUGUCUCUUAUAC